UCGCGGCUUAUCACCGGCAGUCCCCUUAGAGUGCCCAACUGAAUGAUGGCAACUAAGGGCGAGGGUUGCGCUCGUUGCGGGACUUAACCCAACAUCUCACGACACGAGCUGACGACAGCCAUGCAGCACCUGUGUCCAGGUUCCCUUUCGGGCACACUCCCAUCUCUGGGAGCUUCCUGGCAUGUCAAGGGUAGGUAAGGUUUUUCGCGUUGCAUCGAAUUAAUCCACAUAAUCCACCGCUUGUGCGGGUCCCCGUCAAUUCCUUUGAGUUUUAACCUUGCGGCCGUACUCCCCAGGCGGUCGACUUCACGCGUUAGCUUCGUUACUGAGAGUGUCAAACCCCCAACAACCAGUCGACAUCGUUUAGGGCGUGGACUAC
RNAcentral lists this unclassified non-coding RNA (379 nucleotides) under uncultured Gammaproteobacteria bacterium. RNAcentral describes it as "contains 16S-23S intergenic spacer region". The record is from RNAcentral. Lineage: Bacteria; Pseudomonadati; Pseudomonadota; Gammaproteobacteria.